GGGCUUCCAGCUCAUGCUUGGAGCAGUGGACUCAUAAUCCGUCGGUGCCGUGUUCGACUCACGGGAGGCCCACCA
RNAcentral lists this transfer RNA (75 nucleotides) under Cupriavidus necator. Its description in RNAcentral is "tRNA-Met". It matches the Rfam family "tRNA". Rfam says of the family: Transfer RNA (tRNA) molecules are approximately 80 nucleotides in length. Their secondary structure includes four short double-helical elements and three loops (D, anti-codon, and T loops). Further hydrogen bonds mediate the characteristic L-shaped molecular structure. tRNAs have two regions of fundamental functional importance: the anti-codon, which is responsible for specific mRNA codon recognition, and the 3' end, to which the tRNAs corresponding amino acid is attached (by aminoacyl-tRNA synthetases). tRNAs cope with the degeneracy of the genetic code in two manners: having more than one tRNA (with a specific anti-codon) for a particular amino acid; and 'wobble' base-pairing, i.e. permitting non-standard base-pairing at the 3rd anti-codon position. Lineage: Bacteria; Pseudomonadati; Pseudomonadota; Betaproteobacteria; Burkholderiales; Burkholderiaceae. The record is from RNAcentral.